UUAAAUUGAAGAGUUUGAUCAUGGCUCAGAUUGAACGCUGGCGGCAGGCCUAACACAUGCAAGUCGAACGGUAACAGGAAGUAGCUUGCUGCUU
This 94-nucleotide ribosomal RNA is filed under the name Escherichia coli. RNAcentral describes it as "partial 16S ribosomal RNA". It matches the Rfam family "Bacterial small subunit ribosomal RNA", at positions 1 to 88 of the family's 1533-position model. The record is from RNAcentral. RNAcentral also lists the same sequence under 5 other names. Lineage: Bacteria; Pseudomonadati; Pseudomonadota; Gammaproteobacteria; Enterobacterales; Enterobacteriaceae.